This is a non-coding RNA of Paramuricea clavata, 545 nucleotides long. Lineage: Eukaryota; Metazoa; Cnidaria; Anthozoa; Malacalcyonacea; Plexauridae. The record is from the annotation of a GenBank genome assembly.
CCUAUUUACUAUACACAUGCAUAACGAAUAGUUUAUUUCAGCGGCGUAUUUUUAAUGCUAUAUCCACAAAGGACCACUGAUACAGAAAAUGCUUUUCCUGUUGUGAUCUCACUGCCAAAGCUCAUUGAUAUUUGUACUUUACGUUUUUGAGAUUUAUUAGUAUAUAUCCUUGGUAAAUGUAUCUUUUUGGCAAACAUGUUGAAUUAAGGCUAUGUUUACAUUGUAUCGGAUCAGUUUUUGUUUCGUUCGCGAAAAGUUACGGCCCAAGUGUAAACAGCUUCCGCCCCGCCCAUCUAUGCUGUCGUAUUUUCUUCUAUAUAUUAUUAGAAUAGUAAGUUGUUGUUUGCCAGAUUCCAUCUUGAGUCACGCAUUGAACCAAAAUUGCUCGGAUUGGUGUUUACAUUGCAAUGAUAGCGUUGCAAAAACCAAUCCGAUACAUCGCGCACCACUUCGAAGAGCGAACCGCCGCACCACCGGUUCGUUGCAGAAAUUGAGGCGAUAACAACAGUUCAUAUGUAAACAGAAGCCCUGUCCGGUAUGGUUUU